This 247-nucleotide ribosomal RNA is filed under the name uncultured Bdellovibrio sp. RNAcentral's name for it is "partial 16S ribosomal RNA". It matches the Rfam family "Bacterial small subunit ribosomal RNA", at positions 210 to 456 of the family's 1533-position model. The record is from RNAcentral. Lineage: Bacteria; Pseudomonadati; Bdellovibrionota; Bdellovibrionia; Bdellovibrionales; Pseudobdellovibrionaceae.
GUUUUUCGCUUGAGGAUGAGCCCAUACGGGAUUAGCUAGUUGGUGAGGUAAUGGCUCACCAAGGCUACGAUCCCUAACUGGUCUUAGAGGAUGAUCAGUCACACUGGAACUGAGACACGGUCCAGACUCCUACGGGAGGCAGCAGUAGGGAAUAUUGCGCAAUGGGGGAAACCCUGACGCAGCGACGCCGCGUGAGUGAUGAAGGCCUUCGGGUCGUAAAGCUCUGUCGUAUGGGACUAACAAAAUG